RNAcentral lists this transfer RNA (77 nucleotides) under Candidatus Omnitrophota bacterium. RNAcentral describes it as "Candidatus Omnitrophica bacterium tRNA-His". It matches the Rfam family "tRNA". From Rfam's summary of the family: Transfer RNA (tRNA) molecules are approximately 80 nucleotides in length. Their secondary structure includes four short double-helical elements and three loops (D, anti-codon, and T loops). Further hydrogen bonds mediate the characteristic L-shaped molecular structure. tRNAs have two regions of fundamental functional importance: the anti-codon, which is responsible for specific mRNA codon recognition, and the 3' end, to which the tRNAs corresponding amino acid is attached (by aminoacyl-tRNA synthetases). tRNAs cope with the degeneracy of the genetic code in two manners: having more than one tRNA (with a specific anti-codon) for a particular amino acid; and 'wobble' base-pairing, i.e. permitting non-standard base-pairing at the 3rd anti-codon position. The record is from RNAcentral. Lineage: Bacteria; Pseudomonadati; Candidatus Omnitrophota.
GUGGGCGUAGCUCAGCCUGGCAGAGCACUUGACUGUGGCUCAAGACGUCGCGGGUUCAAAUCCCGUCGCCUACCCCA